AGGUCCACAGGACUCUCGCCGCACGCCACACCCGCCCGCGUCCCCAGCUCCCCCCCCCCCCCCCCCCCCCCCCCCCCCCCCCCGCCUCAGCCCACCGAAGAGCAUACCCUAGAUUUUCCUCGAUUCUCUAUUUCCGGACUGGUAGCAAGCAGAGAAGAGAUGAGGAGGCCCCAACCGCGCCCCGAGGCCUUAAAUACUUAGGGGGGGCGGAGAGUCGGGAGGAGUCUGAAGGCCAGGGUGCGGCCGCUCCCGAGUAGGAAAAGGAAGAGAGUAAGGCCAGGUACCCAUGGGAACUUUAAUGUUUUUGUGCUGACCUUGCUGCUACAACAUACUCAAGCUGAAGAAGUGGAUGGAUUUUGUGGUUUUUUUUUUUCCUUUAUAAAUGCAAAGCUUAUUAUU
This 399-nucleotide long non-coding RNA is filed under the name Mus caroli (Ryukyu mouse). RNAcentral's name for it is "lncRNA (MGP_CAROLIEiJ_G0002815.1)". The record is from RNAcentral. Lineage: Eukaryota; Metazoa; Chordata; Mammalia; Rodentia; Muridae.